This 406-nucleotide ribosomal RNA is filed under the name uncultured bacterium. RNAcentral describes it as "partial 16S ribosomal RNA". It matches the Rfam family "Bacterial small subunit ribosomal RNA", at positions 30 to 526 of the family's 1533-position model. The record is from RNAcentral.
AUUGAACGCUGGCGGCAGGCCUAACACAUGCAAGUCGAACGAGUGGCGGACUGGUUAUUACUUUCUGGACAACUGCCCGAUGGAGGGUGAUAACUACUGGCACCGGUAGCUAAUACCUCAUACCAUCUGAUGUUCCCCGAUUGGAUUAGCUAGUAGGUGGGGUGACGGCUCACCUAGUCGAUGCUCCCUUGCUUGUCUGAGAGGAUGACCAGCCACACUGGAACUGAGAAACGGUCCAGACUCCUACGGGAGGCAGCAGUGGGGAAGAGUGCACAAUGGGCGAAAGCCUGAUGCAGCCAUGCCGCGGGGAUGAAGAAGGCCUUAGGGUUGUAAAGUACGUUCAGCGAGGAGGCGUUACUCGCAGAAGAAGCACCGGCUAACUCCGUGCCAGCAGCCGCGGUAAUAC